Molecule: non-coding RNA, 138 nt
Organism: Ornithorhynchus anatinus (platypus)
Lineage: Eukaryota; Metazoa; Chordata; Mammalia; Monotremata; Ornithorhynchidae
Source: Rfam
CUCCUCUCAGGAUCGCACCUGGAGAGUUUCCAGUACUUUACCAGUCUCCGCUACGGUAGGGAGAGUCAAGCAGAUGCAUACCCAUUCCUUUUCUAGCUUGGGCAGUGGCUAGUGAGUGGAAGGCAAUCUGCUACAAGU